AUGAACGCUGGCGGCGUGCUUAACACAUGCAAGUCGAACGAUGAAGCCCAGCUUGCUGGGUGGAUUAGUGGCGAACGGGUGAGUAACACGUGAGUAACCUGCCCUUAACUCUGGGAUAAGCCUGGGAAACUGGGUCUAAUACCGGAUAGGAGCGCCUACCGCAUGGUGGGUGUUGGAAAGAUUUAUCGGUUUUGGAUGGACUCGCGGCCUAUCAGCUUGUUGGUGAGGUAAUGGCUCACCAAGGCGACGACGGGUAGCCGGCCUGAGAGGGUGACCGGCCACACUGGGACUGAGACACGGCCCAGACUCCUACGGGAGGCAGCAGUGGGGAAUAUUGCACAAUGGGCGCAAGCCUGAUGCAGCGACGCCGCGUGAGGGAUGACGGCCUUCGGGUUGUAAACCUCUUUCAGUAGGGAAGAAGCGAAAGUGACGGUACCUGCAGAAGAAGCACCGGCUAACUACG
This 463-nucleotide ribosomal RNA is filed under the name uncultured bacterium. RNAcentral describes it as "partial 16S ribosomal RNA". It matches the Rfam family "Bacterial small subunit ribosomal RNA", at positions 29 to 505 of the family's 1533-position model. The record is from RNAcentral.